GUCCCGUAGUGUAGUGGUUAACAUGCCUGCCUGUCACGCAGGAGAUCGCGGGUUCGAGUCCCGUCGGGACCG
RNAcentral lists this transfer RNA (72 nucleotides) under Geobacillus sp. B4113_201601. RNAcentral describes it as "tRNA-Asp". It matches the Rfam family "tRNA". Rfam says of the family: Transfer RNA (tRNA) molecules are approximately 80 nucleotides in length. The record is from RNAcentral. Lineage: Bacteria; Bacillati; Bacillota; Bacilli; Caryophanales; Anoxybacillaceae.